GGGCAGUAGCCCGAGUGGCCAGGGCUGCUGCCCUCCAACUUGGAGGGCAGCAGUUCGAACCCCCACAAAAGCAUUGUGGGGGUAUUUCCUUGUUCAAUUAAUUUGAGUGAAGGUAGUCUUCUCUAUUACCCAUGAGUGAGGAGUAGACAUCUCUCGAAUAUUUGUGAGGGUUAAAAUCUGGGCAGAGCUCCAUUAGCAUUGAUGUCAGUUGGUCCCAGUAAUAGUCUGAUUUGUAAAUAUCAGUAAUAGUCUCAUGUAUAUGAGUUGUAAUCUGAGCAAUAGUCUCAUGUAAUAAAAAAAAAAAAUGGGUAAUGAGAGUUUGUUU
RNAcentral lists this long non-coding RNA (325 nucleotides) under Citrus maxima (pomelo). Its description in RNAcentral is "long non-coding RNA (CMAX_LNC002125)". Lineage: Eukaryota; Viridiplantae; Streptophyta; Magnoliopsida; Sapindales; Rutaceae. The record is from RNAcentral.